This 460-nucleotide ribosomal RNA is filed under the name uncultured bacterium. Its description in RNAcentral is "partial 16S ribosomal RNA". It matches the Rfam family "Bacterial small subunit ribosomal RNA", at positions 338 to 795 of the family's 1533-position model. The record is from RNAcentral.
CCUACGGGAGACAGCAGUGAGGAAUAUUGGUCAAUGGACGAAAGUCUGAACCAGCCAAGUAGCGUGAAGGAUGACUGCCCUAUGGGUUGUAAACUUCUUUUAUACGGGGAUAAAAUGAGCCACGUGUGGCAUUUUGUAUGUACCGUAUGAAUAAGGAUCGGCUAACUCCGUGCCAGCAGCCGCGGUAAUACGGAGGAUCCGGGCGUUAUCCGGAUUUAUUGGGUUUAAAGGGAGCGUAGGUCGCUUCUUAAGUCAGUUGUGAAAUUUUGCGGCUCAACCGUAAAACUGCAGCUCAAACUGGGAGUCUUGAGUACGGUAGAGGUAGGCGGAAUUCGUGGUGUAGCGGUGAAAUGCUUAGAUAUCACGAAGAACUCCGAUUGCGAAGGCAGCCUACUGGACCGUAACUGACACUGAGGCUCGAAAGUGUGGGUAUCAAACAGGAUUAGAUACCCUAGUAGUC